Molecule: ribosomal RNA, 502 nt
Filed under: uncultured bacterium
Lineage: Bacteria
Description: partial 16S ribosomal RNA
Rfam family: Bacterial small subunit ribosomal RNA
Source: RNAcentral
AUUGAACGCUGGCGGAAUGCUUUACACAUGCAAGUCGAACGGCAGCACGGGUGCUUGCACCUGGUGGCGAGUGGCGAACGGGUGAGUAAUACAUCGGAACGUACCCAGUUGUGGGGGAUAACUAACCGAAAGGUUAGCUAAUACCGCAUACGACCUGCGGGUGAAAGCGGGGGACCGUAAGGCCUCGCGCACUUGGAGCGGCCGAUGUCUGAUUAGCUAGUUGGUAGGGUAAAGGCCUACCAAGGCGACGAUCAGUAGCUGGUCUGAGAGGAUGAUCAGCCACACUGGAACUGAGACACGGUCCAGACUCCUACGGGAGGCAGCAGUGGGGAAUUUUGGACAAUGGGCGAAAGCCUGAUCCAGCCAUUCCGCGUGAGUGAAGAAGGCCUUCGGGUUGUAAAGCUCUUUCGGCAGGGAAGAAACGGCCUAGGUUAAUACCUUGGGCUAAUGACGGUACCUGAAGAAGAAGCACCGGCUAACUACGUGCCAGCAGCCGCGGUAA